UACAGGGUGCGGUCCUGGCUCUUGUGUAAGAAUUCUGACUGCACUAACCAUGCCUAGGAAGGAAAGGAGUUGUUGUUUUGUAAGGGAUUGAGGUUUGGGAGAUCACGUGUGUUUUUAUGAGAAUUACGCCGAGAUAGGUAACAGAUGAGGAUUAAAUUUGGGCUUGACUGAAGUAAUGGGGGCUGUCUGUGAAGCCUUGCAGCAGUACAGCCCAGGUAAUUUGCUGAGCCUAAUGGGUGUCAGGGUCAGUCUAAGUUA
Molecule: long non-coding RNA, 258 nt
Filed under: Homo sapiens (human)
Lineage: Eukaryota; Metazoa; Chordata; Mammalia; Primates; Hominidae
Description: non-protein coding lnc-KLHL13-4:2
Source: RNAcentral